RNAcentral lists this ribosomal RNA (1522 nucleotides) under Bacillus halotolerans. Its description in RNAcentral is "bacterial SSU rRNA". It matches the Rfam family "Bacterial small subunit ribosomal RNA". Lineage: Bacteria; Bacillati; Bacillota; Bacilli; Caryophanales; Bacillaceae. The record is from RNAcentral.
UUUAGAGUUUUGAAUCAUGGCUCAGGACGAACGCUGGCGGCGUGCCUAAUACAUGCAAGUCGAGCGGACAGAUGGGAGCUUGCUCCCUGAUGUUAGCGGCGGACGGGUGAGUAACACGUGGGUAACCUGCCUGUAAGACUGGGAUAACUCCGGGAAACCGGGGCUAAUACCGGAUGCUUGUUUGAACCGCAUGGUUCAAACAUAAAAGGUGGCUUCGGCUACCACUUACAGAUGGACCCGCGGCGCAUUAGCUAGUUGGUGAGGUAAUGGCUCACCAAGGCAACGAUGCGUAGCCGACCUGAGAGGGUGAUCGGCCACACUGGGACUGAGACACGGCCCAGACUCCUACGGGAGGCAGCAGUAGGGAAUCUUCCGCAAUGGACGAAAGUCUGACGGAGCAACGCCGCGUGAGUGAUGAAGGUUUUCGGAUCGUAAAGCUCUGUUGUUAGGGAAGAACAAGUACCGUUCGAAUAGGGCGGUACCUUGACGGUACCUAACCAGAAAGCCACGGCUAACUACGUGCAAGCAGCCGCGGUAAUACGUAGGUGGCAAGCGUUGUCCGGAAUUAUUGGGCGUAAAGGGCUCGCAGGCGGUUCCUUAAGUCUGAUGUGAAAGCCCCCGGCUCAACCGGGGAGGGUCAUUGGAAACUGGGGAACUUGAGUGCAGAAGAGGAGAGUGGAAUUCCACGUGUAGCGGUGAAAUGCGUAGAGAUGUGGAGGAACACCAGUGGCGAAGGCGACUCUCUGGUCUGUAACUGACGCUGAGGAGCGAAAGCGUGGGGAGCGAACAGGAUUAGAUACCCUGGUAGUCCACGCCGUAAACGAUGAGUGCUAAGUGUUAGGGGGUUUCCGCCCCUUAGUGCUGCAGCUAACGCAUUAAGCACUCCGCCUGGGGAGUACGGUCGCAAGACUGAAACUCAAAGGAAUUGACGGGGGCCCGCACAAGCGGUGGAGCAUGUGGUUUAAUUCGAAGCAACGCGAAGAACCUUACCAGGUCUUGACAUCCUCUGACAAUCCUAGAGAUAGGACGUCCCCUUCGGGGGCAGAGUGACAGGUGGUGCAUGGUUGUCGUCAGCUCGUGUCGUGAGAUGUUGGGUUAAGUCCCGCAACGAGCGCAACCCUUGAUCUUAGUUGCCAGCAUUCAGUUGGGCACUCUAAGGUGACUGCCGGUGACAAACCGGAGGAAGGUGGGGAUGACGUCAAAUCAUCAUGCCGCUUAUGACCUGGGCUACACACGUGCUACAAUGGACAGAACAAAGGGCAGCGAAACCGCGAGGUUAAGCCAAUCCCACAAAUCUGUUCUCAGUUCGGAUCGCAGUCUGCAACUCGACUGCGUGAAGCUGGAAUCGCUAGUAAUCGCGGAUCAGCAUGCCGCGGUGGAAUACGUUCCCGGGGCCUUGUACACACCGCCCGUCACACCACGAGAGUUUGUAACACCCGAAGUCGGUGAGGUAACCUUUAUGGAGCCAGCCGCCGAAGGUGGGACAGAUGAUUGGGGUGAAGUCGUAACAGGGUUAACCGUA